RNAcentral lists this ribosomal RNA (120 nucleotides) under Fusarium venenatum. Lineage: Eukaryota; Fungi; Ascomycota; Sordariomycetes; Hypocreales; Nectriaceae. The record is from RNAcentral.
ACAUACGACCAUACCUACCAGAAAAUACGGGAUCCCGUCCGCUCUCCUAUAGUCAAGCUGGUAAGGGGCGGAUUAGUAGUUGGGUCGGUGACGACCAGCGAAUCCCCGCUGUUGUAUGUU